Molecule: ribosomal RNA, 253 nt
Filed under: uncultured bacterium
Lineage: Bacteria
Description: partial 16S ribosomal RNA
Rfam family: Bacterial small subunit ribosomal RNA
Source: RNAcentral
UACGGGGGGGGCAAGCGUUGUUCGGAGUUACUGGGCGUAAAGGGCUCGUAGGCGGCCAACUAAGUCAGACGUGAAAUCCCCAGGCUCAACCUGGGAACUGCGUCUGAUACUGGAUGGCUUGAAUCCGGGAGAGGGAUGCAGAAUUCCAGGUGUAGCGGUGAAAUGCGUAGAUAUCUGGAGGAAUACCGGUGGCGAAGGCGGCAUCCUGGACCGGCAUUGACGCUGAGGAGCGAAAGCCAGGGGAGCAAACGGG